Molecule: ribosomal RNA, 600 nt
Filed under: uncultured archaeon
Lineage: Archaea
Description: bacterial SSU rRNA
Rfam family: Archaeal small subunit ribosomal RNA
Source: RNAcentral
GAUCAUAGUGCCUGGAAUGGCUUAUGGUCCAAACAGUUUACUGCCAUGGGAUGGGACUGCGGCCUAUCAGCUUGUUGGUGAGGUAAUGGCCCACCAAGGCGAUUACAGGUACGGGCUCUGAGAGGAGAAGCCCGGAGAUGGGUACUGAGACACGGACCCAGGCCCUAUGGGGCGCAGCAGGCGAGAAACCUUAGCAAUGUGCGAAAGCACGACUGGGUCAGUCCGAGUGAUUCCUGAUAAAGGAGUCUUUUGCCUGUCCUAAAAACACAGGUGAAUAAGGGGUGGGCAAGUCUGGUGUCAGCCGCCGCGGUAAUACCAGCACCUCGAGUGGUCAGGACGUUUAUUGGGCCUAAAGCAUCCGUAGCCCGGCGCUGCAAGUCUUCGGUUAAAUCCACCUGCUCAACAGAUGGGCUGCUGGAGAUACUACAGCGCUAGGGAGUGGGAGAAGCAGACGGUAUUCAGUGGGUAGGGGUAAAUCCUCUGAUCAUGAGACCACCAGUGGCGAAGGCGGUCUGCAGACACGUUCGACGGUGAGGGAUGAAAGCUGGGGGAGCAAACCGAAUAAGAUACCGGGUCAGUCCCAGCUUGUAACGAUGCAAC